UACGUAGGUGGCAAGCGUUGUCCGGAUUUACUGGGUGUAAAGGGCGUGUAGCCGGGCUGACAAGUCAGAUGUGAAAUCCGGGGGCUCAACCCCCGAACUGCAUUUGAAACUGUUGGUCUUGAGUAUCGGAGAGGCAGGCGGAAUUCCUAGUGUAGCGGUGAAAUGCGUAGAUAUUAGGAGGAACACCAGUGGCGAAGGCGGCCUGCUGGACGACAACUGACGGUGAGGCGCGAAAGCGUGGGUAGCAAACAGG
Molecule: ribosomal RNA, 253 nt
Filed under: uncultured bacterium
Lineage: Bacteria
Description: partial 16S ribosomal RNA
Rfam family: Bacterial small subunit ribosomal RNA
Source: RNAcentral